AUUGAACGCUGGCGGCAUGCCUUACACAUGCAAGUCGGACGGCAGCGCGGGAGCAAUCCUGGCGGCGAGUGGCGAACGGGUGAGUAAUACAUCGGAACAUGUCCAGUAGUGGGGGAUAGCCCGGCGAAAGCCGGAUUAAUACCGCAUACGAUCUAUGGAUGAAAGCGGGGGAUCGCAAGACCUCGCGCUAUUGGGGUGGCCGAUGGCGGAUUAGCUAGUUGGUGGGGUAAAGGCCUACCAAGGCGACGAUCCGUAGCUGGUCUGAGAGGACGACCAGCCACACUGGGACUGAGACACGGCCCAGACUCCUACGGGAGGCAGCAGUGGGGAAUUUUGGACAAUGGGGGCAACCCUGAUCCAGCAAUGCCGCGUGUGUGAAGAAGGCCUUCGGGUUGUAAAGCACUUUUGUCCGGGAAGAAAUCCCCUGCCCUAAUACGGCGGGGGGAUGACGUACCGAAGAAUAGCCC
Molecule: ribosomal RNA, 467 nt
Filed under: Burkholderia sp. oral taxon D43
Lineage: Bacteria; Pseudomonadati; Pseudomonadota; Betaproteobacteria; Burkholderiales; Burkholderiaceae
Description: bacterial SSU rRNA
Rfam family: Bacterial small subunit ribosomal RNA
Source: RNAcentral